RNAcentral lists this ribosomal RNA (253 nucleotides) under uncultured bacterium. RNAcentral's name for it is "partial 16S ribosomal RNA". It matches the Rfam family "Bacterial small subunit ribosomal RNA", at positions 524 to 776 of the family's 1533-position model. The record is from RNAcentral.
UACGGAGGGUGCAAGCAUUAAUCGGAAUUAUUGGGCGUAAAGGGCGCGCAGGCGGGAAUGUAAGACAGAUGUGAAAUCCCGGGGCUCAACCCCGGAACAGCAUUUGAAACUGCAUACCUAGAGGGUAGUCGGAGAAGACAGAAUUCCACAAGUAGCAGUGAAAUGCGUAGAUAUGGGGAAGAAUACCGGUGGCGAAGGCGGUUUUCUAGAUUAUACCUGACGCUGAGGCGCGAAAGCAAGGGGAUCAAACAGG